CAGUCGCCGCGGUAAUACGGAGGGUGCAAGCGUUAUCCGGAUUUAUUGGGUUUAAAGGGUCCGUAGGCGGAUCUGUAAGUCAGUGGUGAAAUCUCACAGCUUAACUGUGAAACUGCCAUUGAUACUGCAGGUCUUGAGUAAAUUUGAAGUGGCUGGAAUAAGUAGUGUAGCGGUGAAAUGCAUAGAUAUUACUUAGAACACCAAUUGCGAAGGCAGGUCACUAAGAUUUAACUGACGCUGAUGGACGAAAGCGUGGGGAGCGAACAGGAUUAGAUACCCGUGUAGUCCCUGUCUCUUAUAA
This 301-nucleotide ribosomal RNA is filed under the name uncultured bacterium. RNAcentral describes it as "partial 16S ribosomal RNA". It matches the Rfam family "Bacterial small subunit ribosomal RNA", at positions 509 to 809 of the family's 1533-position model. The record is from RNAcentral.